RNAcentral lists this ribosomal RNA (464 nucleotides) under Vreelandella stevensii. Its description in RNAcentral is "partial 16S ribosomal RNA". It matches the Rfam family "Bacterial small subunit ribosomal RNA", at positions 338 to 795 of the family's 1533-position model. The record is from RNAcentral. Lineage: Bacteria; Pseudomonadati; Pseudomonadota; Gammaproteobacteria; Oceanospirillales; Halomonadaceae.
CCUACGGGCGCAGCAGUGGGGAAUAUUGGACAAUGGGCGAAAGCCUGAUCCAGCCAUGCCGCGUGUGUGAUGAAGGCCUUCGGGUUGUAAAGCACUUUCAGUGGGGAAGAAAGCCUUGGGGCUAAUACCCUCGAGGAAGGACAUCACCCACAGAAGAAGCACCGGCUAACUCCGUGCCAGCAGCCGCGGUAAUACGGAGGGUGCGAGCGUUAAUCGGAAUUACUGGGCGUAAAGCGCGCGUAGGCGGUCUGAUAAGCCGGUUGUGAAAGCCCCGGGCUCAACCUGGGAACGGCAUCCGGAACUGUCAGGCUAGAGUGCAGGAGAGGAAGGUAGAAUUCCCGGUGUAGCGGUGAAAUGCGUAGAGAUCGGGAGGAAUACCAGUGGCGAAGGCGGCCUUCUGGACUGACACUGACGCUGAGGUGCGAAAGCGUGGGUAGCAAACAGGAUUAGAUACCCGGGUAGUC